Molecule: ribosomal RNA, 370 nt
Filed under: uncultured organism
Description: bacterial SSU rRNA
Rfam family: Bacterial small subunit ribosomal RNA
Source: RNAcentral
CGUAGGGUGCAAGCGUUAAUCGGAAUUACUGGGCGUAAAGCGUGCGCAGGCGGUUAUGUAAGACAGGUGUGAAAUCCCCGGGCUUAACCUGGGAACUGCAUUUGUGACUGCAUAGCUAGAGUACGGUAGAGGGGGAUGGAAUUCCGCGUGUAGCAGUGAAAUGCGUAGAUAUGCGGAGGAACACCGAUGGCGAAGGCAAUCCCCUGGACCUGUACUGACGCUCAUGCACGAAAGCGUGGGGAGCAAACAGGAUUAGAUACCCUGGUAGUCCACGCCCUAAACGAUGUCAACUGGUUGUUGGGUCUUCACUGUCUCAGUAACGAAGCUAACGCGUGAAGUUGACCGCCUGGGGAGUACGGCCGCAAGGUUG